GACGAACGCUGGCGGCGUGCUUAACACAUGCAAGUCGAGCGAUGAAGUUCCUUCGGGAAUGGAUUAGCGGCGGACGGGUGAGUAACACGUGGGUAACCUGCCUCAUAGAGGGGAAUAGCCUUCCGAAAGGAAGAUUAAUACCGCAUAAGAUUGUAGUGCCGCAUGGCAUAGCAAUUAAAGGAGUAAUCCGCUAUGAGAUGGACCCGCGUCGCAUUAGCUAGUUGGUGAGGUAACGGCUCACCAAGGCGACGAUGCGUAGCCGACCUGAGAUGGUGAUCGGCCACAUUGGGACUGAGACCCGGCCCAGACUCCUACGGGAGGCAGCAGUGGUGAAUAUUGCACAACGGGGGAAACCCUGAUGCAGCAACGCCGCGUGAGUGAUGAAGGUCUUCGGAUUGUAAAACUCUGUCUUCAGGGACGAUAAUGACGGUACCAAAGGAGGAAGCCACGGCUAACUACGUGCCAGCAGCCGCCGCGG
Molecule: ribosomal RNA, 478 nt
Filed under: uncultured bacterium
Lineage: Bacteria
Description: partial 16S ribosomal RNA
Rfam family: Bacterial small subunit ribosomal RNA
Source: RNAcentral